AAGACUCCGUCUCUAAAUAAAUAAAUAAAAACUAAAGAGUAAAAACCUGUCCAGGACUCAAAGAGUGAAAAUCAGCUUGGAUGUGGAAAAGUUAGUACUGUCAAUGAUCCAUGAUCAGGCUGAGAGGACAAAGUCAGAAGCAAAAUUAAGCAGGAAGGUAAGGAAGCAGAUAUAUUCCUGGUAAUUCUUGGUGGAGUGAGAAGCAAAUGGAAAUCUGUUUUCUUCUACAAAAAGAGGAAGAAGCAGCAGCAGAGCCAGAAGCAGGAAGCAGAUAAAAAAUUUAAUCUCAUCAUGGACACAAAAGCAUACUAAAACAAACUAUAAACAAAUAAAAUUCUUUAUUUAAAUUUCUCUUGUGGGGAAAAUAUUUUUCUUUAAAGCACACUUACAAGUAAUUUGCAUUUACUUCCUGUAAAACAUUUCCAUUUUACAAUUAGCAAAACUAAAAGGCUAUGUCUCUUUAUGCAUUUAUUUUUGUUAGAAAAACGUCCCAUGGUGCUAUCAAACUGAUUUUAACCAUCAUCGAGCCUAACUUCGCCUCUGUUGACAACAUGACUACAAGCAUGAAUCAAAACGGAGUUAAGGAAUUUUAAGCCAUAAGGUUUCAAUUAUAGCUUACCAAUUAUGUAGUUAGCUGACAAAAAUCAAGUCUGAUGUAGAAUAGCUGUCAUCUAUUUAACUGCAGAUAAUCAUGGCAUUUUCAUUUAAGAUGAUCUGAACUUAUGAAAUAAAGGAUCCAGUCCCAAUAACUCAAUAAUCUCUUACGUUUUCUUUUGAAGACUUAUUUUAAAUAUUAACUAUUUCAGUGCCUGAAUGGAAAAACAUAAACAUUAGCUCAGAGACAAUGUGAUUCCUGUUUGGAAUCCAGCUGGCAGCUAUAAGCACCAUUAAAAACUCUAACAGGCUUUGUGCCCUUUUUAUUAAACAGCCUCACAUCCUGAACACAGGAAUGUGUUCAUUUAAAUAAACAUUAAUCUUUAAUGUUGAAUUCUGAAAACACAACCACAAAUCAUAGUUGGUUUUUCUGUGACAAUGAUCUAGUACAUUAUUUUCUCCACAUCAAACCUACCUUUCCAGAAGGUGGAAACUGUAUUUGCAAAAAUCAGGACAAAACUCACAUUUGAAAAGCAUUUUACAAUAUUAUAUCUAAAUU
Cercocebus atys (sooty mangabey) is the source of this 1153-nucleotide long non-coding RNA. RefSeq lists it as uncharacterized. The transcript has 2 exons. NCBI's taxonomy places the organism in Eukaryota, Metazoa, Chordata, Mammalia, Primates, Cercopithecidae. The record is from RefSeq and is a predicted model, not a curated record.